Molecule: long non-coding RNA, 864 nt
Filed under: Homo sapiens (human)
Lineage: Eukaryota; Metazoa; Chordata; Mammalia; Primates; Hominidae
Description: HSALNT0082248
Source: RNAcentral
GUCCUCUCCACUUUCCAUCUCCCACCCCUCGCCUUCCUCCCGCCUCCUUCUCCUCCCCACUCCCUCUCCUUCUCUCCUCCUUCUCCCUCCCCCCUUCCCCUCCUUCUCCUCCCUCUCCCUCCUCUUCUUUCCCCCUUCUUCCCCCUCCCGCUCCUCUCCCUCCCUCUCCUUCUCCCCCUCCUCCUCCCUCCCUCUUCUCCCUUCCUCCCCCGACUCCUUCUCUCCUCCCUUCUUUCUCCCCUCCCCAUCACCGCUCUUUUUGGUGUGUUGCUCACUUUCUCCUCAGUUUGUCCAAACACUUUCAGUUUUCACUUUCAGGAAGUGUUGAGGUCCACACCCAACUCAGGCUCUCCAUCCCUGAGGGGAAGCACGUGGCUGUCCCCUUUCGGUGGAUUUCAAGCAUCCCUGGCGCAGGUGCAGCGGCCUUGCCCUGGGCUCACCAGCAGCCUUUGGGGUCCCAGUUGGCAGGCAGCCCUGUUCCCUGGGGGUCCCUGCCGGAGCUGCUGGUCCCUGGAGCUACCCCGUGAGUACUUUUCUGUCUUGGAAUAGGAUGUUCAAGUGCACAGGUCACGGGUAAGGACGGAGGCAUAGAUUAAUCCGGCCCCUCACUGCCCCGAGGAACCCAGGAUCUGGCACGGUCCUCGGCAUGCUCAUGCUGCAGUGAAUGAGCGAGUGAGAGUGAACUGACAGGCGCGGGGAGGAAGAGGCUGAAGCACGCUUCACUUGCCCGCAGUUUUGUGAGGGCGGGGUCUGUAGGCCGGAAAGGAAUUCUUCACCCCGGAAGUGAAUGCUUGUCGCAUGCAUUAAAUAGCCUGAUUUGGCUGUCCCUUUCCCCACCGGUUUUGCUGCAGUCAUUCUUUGGCG